This 1013-nucleotide ribosomal RNA is filed under the name Leptodontidium sp. FMR 11834. RNAcentral describes it as "SSU rRNA". It matches the Rfam family "Eukaryotic small subunit ribosomal RNA", at positions 50 to 1071 of the family's 1831-position model. Lineage: Eukaryota; Fungi; Ascomycota; Leotiomycetes; Helotiales; Leptodontidiaceae. The record is from RNAcentral.
CAUGCAUGUCUAAGUAUAAGCAAUCUAUACGGUGAAACUGCGAAUGGCUCAUUAAAUCAGUUAUCGUUUAUUUGAUAGUACCUUACUACUUGGAUAACCGUGGUAAUUCUAGAGCUAAUACAUGCUAAAAACCUCGACUUCGGAAGGGGUGUAUUUAUUAGAUAAAAAACCAAUGCCCUUCGGGGCUCCUUGGUGAUUCAUAAUAACUUAACGAAUCGCAUGGCCUUGUGCCGGCGAUGGUUCAUUCAAAUUUCUGCCCUAUCAACUUUCGAUGGUAGGAUAGUGGCCUACCAUGGUUUCAACGGGUAACGGGGAAUUAGGGUUCUAUUCCGGAGAGGGAGCCUGAGAAACGGCUACCACAUCCAAGGAAGGCAGCAGGCGCGCAAAUUACCCAAUCCCGACACGGGGAGGUAGUGACAAUAAAUACUGAUACAGGGCUCUUUUGGGUCUUGUAAUUGGAAUGAGUACAAUUUAAAUCCCUUAACGAGGAACAAUUGGAGGGCAAGUCUGGUGCCAGCAGCCGCGGUAAUUCCAGCUCCAAUAGCGUAUAUUAAAGUUGUUGCAGUUAAAAAGCUCGUAGUUGAACCUUGGGCCUGGCUGGCCGGUCCGCCUCACCGCGUGCACUGGUCCGGCCGGGCCUUUCCUUCUGGGGAGCCGCAUGCCCUUCACUGGGUGUGUCGGGGAACCAGGACUUUUACUUUGAAAAAAUUAGAGUGUUCAAAGCAGGCCUAUGCUCGAAUACAUUAGCAUGGAAUAAUAGAAUAGGACGUGUGGUUCUAUUUUGUUGGUUUCUAGGACCGCCGUAAUGAUUAAUAGGGAUAGUCGGGGGCAUCAGUAUUCAAUUGUCAGAGGUGAAAUUCUUGGAUUUAUUGAAGACUAACUACUGCGAAAGCAUUUGCCAAGGAUGUUUUCAUUAAUCAGUGAACGAAAGUUAGGGGAUCGAAGACGAUCAGAUACCGUCGUAGUCUUAACCAUAAACUAUGCCGACUAGGGAUCGGGCGAGGUUACUUUUU